ACACAUGCAAGUCGAACGGGAAGAGAUGAAGAGCUUGCUCUUUAUCGAAUCCAGUGGCAAACGGGUGAGUAACACGUAAACAACCUGCCUUCAGGAUGGGGACAACAGACGGAAACGACUGCUAAUACCGAAUACGUUCCACGGGCCGCAUGACCUGUGGAAGAAAGGGUAGCCUCUACCUGUAAGCUAUCGCCUGAAGAGGGGUUUGCGUCUGAUUAGGCAGUUGGUGGGGUAACGGCCCACCAAACCAACGAUCAGUAGCCGGUCUGAGAGGAUGAACGGCCACACUGGAACUGAGACACGGUCCAGACUCCUACGGGAGGCAGCAGUGGGGAAUCUUCCGCAAUGGACGAAAGUCUGACGGAGCAACGCCGCGUGAGUGAAGACGGCCUUCGGGUUGUAAAGCUCUGUGAUCCGGGACGAAAGAGCCUUGGGUAAAUAGCCUAAGGAAGUGACGGUACCGGAAAAGCAAGCCACGGCUAACUACGUGCCAGCAGCCGCGGUAAUACGUAGGUGGCAAGCGUUGUCCGGAAUUAUUGGGCGUAAAGCGCGCGCAGGCGGCUUCCUAAGUCCAUCUUAAAAGUGCGGGGCUUAACCCCGUGAUGGGAUGGAAACUGGGAAGCUGGAGUAUCGGAGAGGAAAGUGGAAUUCCUAGUGUAGCGGUGAAAUGCGUAGAGAUUAGGAAGAACACCGGUGGCGAAGGCGACUUUCUGGACGAAAACUGACGCUGAGGCGCGAAAGCGUGGGGAGCAAACAGGAUUAGAUACCCCGGUAGUCCACGCCGUAAACGAUGGAUACUAGGUGUAGGAGGUAUCGACCCCUUCUGUGCCGGA
Molecule: ribosomal RNA, 833 nt
Filed under: uncultured bacterium
Lineage: Bacteria
Description: bacterial SSU rRNA
Rfam family: Bacterial small subunit ribosomal RNA
Source: RNAcentral